AACACAUUAAGGUACUAGCCAAAAAUGAAGACUAAGCCUUAGGAAGAGUUUGAAGUGGUUUUGGCACUUAAUCUUGGAGUUUACGGCCUAAGGAGCAUCUUGGCCGUAAACUCCCUUCCAAAGUUGGUUUCUAAUUGUUUUGUGGGUCUAAAUCAUGAGUUUAAGGCUUCUAGGUUCUUGUUCUAAGGCUAAAGGAACACUAGGCACUCAUUUGUGCCCUUUACUUGGAGUUUACGGCCCAAGAGGUUGUUCCUUGGCCGUAAACUCCUCAAACUACUUGCUUUUGAUUUGUUUCUAGCCUCUAAUGAUCAUACACUAAGUCCUUAGUUAGAUGCCUAACACGGAAAUGGGACUAGGUGGCCUUUAGGCUUGAUUUUGGAGUUUACUCCCCAAGAACGUUCUUGGGCGGUAAACUCCCGGAUCUUGUGUUUUGGACAUGUAAACAAUGUUAUAAAGCAUAUAACAAGUAUUAAAACACAUUUAGGGAAGUAGACUCACAAUCUGGGAUGAAAACCCGAAGAUCCGUGAGAGAGUAUUUGGCUUUUCUCUAAAUGGAAAUCAAAUAAUGAACCAAUUUGGUUCAGAAUUCUAUUUAUAGUCCAGAGAUUUUUGGCAGAAAAUAUUUCUAUUCUCGGAAUGGAUUCUAAUGACCUAGAGUAAUGGAAUUACAGUGUUGCACAAAAUCCUAGUGCACCCACUCUCCUAAUAACUCCUUAGGUGUAAAACCCUAAAACUGCCAAACUUAUUCCAAAAGUUUGAAUUUUCACUGAAACUGCUCUACUUCCAUUGGAUUGAUGUGGUUUGAUUUGAAUGGAAAAUUUCGGGUUGUCACAGUUAAGGGGUAUGAACUCACCUGCAGUAUGUGACUGGAAUUGAACGGGCUGUUAUCGUACGGAAGGAUCAGACAAGUGCUUGGUGUCAAGUGAAGACUUAGACACACACAAUGAUCCUAAUUACAUAUGAAACAUAUGUAUAUAAAUAAUUAGUGAUUAUAACACUAAUUAUACAAGUAAUAACAUUUAAGCGCGAGGACAACACUUUUGGUCAAGUGCUAGGAGGCUAAUGGGUUGCAACAAAGAAGUGCAAUGCCCCUAAUGAAAGUUUAAGGUCAAAAGACCAUAUUCAUUAGAGUUUACGGCCCAGGGGAGUAAGCUCCUGGCCGUAAACUCUCAAACAAGUCAUGAAAUGGAGUUUAAAAGUACUACAACCUUAGAGGGGAAUUGUUUCAAGGCUAUACAAGUGUUUGGGCACCACAUUGACUCCUUUGGGGAGUUUACGGCCCAAAGACCCUUCUCCCUUGGAGUUUACGGCCGUAAACUCCCUUGGGAGGGUUCUUAUUGUCCUUUCAAGUCUCUAACAUUUCUAGGAACAAGUCUAGGCUUCAAUACUUGGAUCAAGGGAGGUUUAUGGCAUUAAAUGGAACCAUUUGAUGGAGUUUACGGCCAUAGAACUCUUUGGGCCGUAAACUCCCUCACACAUGAGGUUCUAAGAAUUUUAACUAGCCCAAAACUCAUCUAGGUACUUGCCCUAAAAGUCUCUUGGCCUAAGGAAGUGUCUAGGGUGUCCUUUGACCCCUUUAAAGGAGUUUACGGCCCAAGAAAUACUCUUGGCCGUAAACUCUUCAACACUUGAGCUUUUCAUGAUUUUUCUAGGUCCUAAACACAUUAAGGUACUAGCCAAAAAUGAAGACUAAGCCUUAGGAAGAGUUUGAAGUGGUUUUGGCCCUAAAUCUUGGAGUUUACGGCCUAAGGAGCAUCUUGGCCGUAAACUCCCUUCCAAAGUGUGUUUCUAAAUGUUUUGUUGGUCUAAAACACUUGCUUAAGGCUUCUAGGUACUUGUUCUAAGGCUAAAGGAUCACUAGGCACUCAUUUGUGCCCUUUACUUGGAGUUUACGGCCCAAGAGGUGGUUCCUUGGCCGUAAACUCCUCAAACUACUUGCUUUUGAUUUGCUUCUAGCCUCUAAUGAUCAUACACUAAGUCCUUAGUUAGAUGCCUAACACGGAAAUGGGACUAGGUGGCCUUUAGGCUUGAUUUUGGAGUUUACUCCCCAAGAACGUUCUUGGGCGGUAAACUCCUGGAUCUAGUGUUUUGGACUUGUAAACAAUGUUAUAAAGCAUAUAAC
Molecule: long non-coding RNA, 2122 nt
Filed under: Lactuca sativa (garden lettuce)
Lineage: Eukaryota; Viridiplantae; Streptophyta; Magnoliopsida; Asterales; Asteraceae
Description: long non-coding RNA (LSAT_LNC004255)
Source: RNAcentral